CAGGAGCUAGGUUUUCUAGUUAGUGUGGUUUGUGAGAGUGAUUGAGAACUUAGAGGGACACAGAGAAAUUCACCUGGGUCGUAACCAGCUAGUUUGUUGUAUCAAUUGAGAUGGAGCAGCAUAGCGAAACGUGCGAUAGAGAAGAAGUACGCGAGGGUGGUGGUGGUUCCUCCUUGGAUCCUCCCAAUCCAGAAGGAGAAACCCCAAUCUCCGACGGCGUCGCAUUCAACAAUCAAAGCGAAAUUUUCAGAGCGAUCGAAGUUGUGGAGCGCGACUCACUGGCCAUCGCUCAGAGUUUCACUUCUCUCUUCGCCUCUCUCCGUUUGGCGCUCUCCGAAUCCACCGCCACCUCGCUCCACCACAUGCAGUGCUUCACCGAUGCCACCGGUCGCCUUCAGGAAUCCGUGCUUGAUGCAGCAAACAAGGGGAAUCGCUAUAUAAAUUCCUGUCUCAGAUUGAAUGAAGAGAUGAAGACUGUUGAUGGACUCGCUGCUCAUCUGUAUCCUAUUGCUUUGCUAUUUGCUGCUAAUUUGUUUUACGCUCUCCUUCGUAUUUUUGAUAUAAAGAAUAUACACUGUCACCCAAUAAAUGUUUCCGAACAUGCCGAAAGAAUCUAUUGUGUAAGCCAUGGUGUGCUUAGUACCAUGUUAACAUACUCCACUUUGAUUCAAUGGUGAACCUUUGUGCAUUUUAGAGGCGUUCUCUCUGGAGGAGCUUUAUUUGCUGCUUGAGACAAAGACUUGUGUGAUUAAAAAACCCUAAGAAGGCACGUAGAUUCUCUGGACUCAGCUGUUAACAAGCUUCUUCAAUUCCCCUGAUACAUUGGGAUUCAGUCCUGUACAAGUUGUUAAGAUAGAGGGUUGAGAAGCGGUGAAGUUUCCUCCUUUUUCCCCAGUAAACAAGAGAUAGAGUCUACAAUAUUGUUCCUCGUGUCACAAAAUUUUCCUCUAGUGCUGACAAAAAAAAAACACGAGACUUUCCUCUAGUGUGUCACAAGAUUUUUCCAGUGCACAGUAUGUUUGAAGUUUUAGACGUGAUGAUUUUAUGUAUGUGCCUUUGUCAUUAUCACUGGUGCUGUUAAUAGUUUGUAUUCAGGACAGAAAUGAAAGUAAGUACAUUCUAGAGUAGCAUAUUUUGGUUCUUCAUCUUGUUCUGAAAUGGUAUAAAAACAUUCUAUGCCUCUUUGGGAGA
Molecule: RNA transcript, 1191 nt
Organism: Vigna angularis (adzuki bean)
Lineage: Eukaryota; Viridiplantae; Streptophyta; Magnoliopsida; Fabales; Fabaceae
Exons: 5
Source: RefSeq, a predicted model, not a curated record